RNAcentral lists this ribosomal RNA (383 nucleotides) under Cyrtocarcinus truncatus. Its description in RNAcentral is "partial 12S ribosomal RNA". Lineage: Eukaryota; Metazoa; Arthropoda; Malacostraca; Decapoda; Xanthidae. The record is from RNAcentral.
UUAGAUACCCUAUUAUACUAAUAAAAGCUCAGAUUAUAACAGUUAUGUUCUUGAAAUUUAAAGAAUUUGGCGGUAAUUUAGUCUUGUUAGAGGAACCUGUUUUUAAAUCGAUACUCCACGUAAAAUCUUACUUACUUUAAUUAGUUUAUAUACCGUCAUUAUCAGAUAAUUUUAAAAAAAUUAAUUAUUAAACUUUAAGUAUAAAUAAGUUAAAUUAGAUCCAGGUGUAGCUUAUAAGUAAGUUAAAAUGGGUUACAAUAAAUUUUAUUUAAUACGGAGUAAUUAUAGGAAGAGUUAAUAAUGAAGGAGGAUUUAAUUGUAAUGAGAGUUUAAUAAGCUUAAAAGAUAUAAGCUCUAAAUUAUGUACAUAUCGCCCGUCGCUA